GUAAGCAGAAACUAUUUUUUUUUUGUUUUUUGCCAAAACACAUGUAAACUGAUGCUCAUCAAUUAGUUCAUUCAGAAGGAAAGAAAAUCAGUACUUGCAAGACCUGUUUUCCCUUUCUUUUGUAGACCCAACAAAUCAUUUGAGAAGAGAUCUUGCCAAGUGUUCUCGUGCAGUUGCCAAUGCUUGACUUAUAGUCUGCUCCGACAAAGGUGCCCCAGAAUCAACGCUGUUGCUUGCCACUUUCCCAGCAAUAACAUUAGCAUCCGUUUCAAGAACGAUUCCGCCAUCAACAAUUUCAUCCAGACACAAAAGAAUAAGGUCCAAAUUUUCAAGUGCCUCCUUCUUUUCUACAUUGCCCCUAAGAAGAAUACCAACAGCAUCAAAGAAUCCUUGGAGAACACUGGCAAGGAUUAUUUCAUUUUCAUUGUCACUCCCAGUAACAAAGAAAUGAAGAUCUUGAGCAAACUUGUAGACAACAAUAUAAUUAUCAAACAUUGUAAUCUCCGCUUCUGCCCUAGCAUUUGUCUUUUGAGUCUUGGCAAACACGGCCUUCUCAAAAGCUUCCUUUGCAGCAUUUGUUGGCCAAUCAUCUGAGUAGUAGUUUACAGCAACACGCUUUCCUUCGGAAUCUAGAAGCAGAAUGUUCUUAAUUGAAGGGCAGAUCUCCAUUGUUGGUGAAUUGAGGUUGAAAAUGGCGGAUCGCACGACCUACGGACACACCAGAAUUGCACGCCGUAGAGAAGGGAGGAGAAGA
RNAcentral lists this unclassified non-coding RNA (754 nucleotides) under Hevea brasiliensis (rubber tree). Lineage: Eukaryota; Viridiplantae; Streptophyta; Magnoliopsida; Malpighiales; Euphorbiaceae. The record is from RNAcentral.